CCUAAAUCAUUGGAACAAGACUUAAUACCCAUGACUAUUGGUCGGGCACAAAUUCGGGCUGGCUUUGAGUUCAAUCCAAGGUCAAUUAUGGCUAAAAGACAAGCCUCUUGAUUUGUAGAUCUCCCUAAGCCACUUCCAGCUCUAGGUGAUCAUGGCAAAUCAGCUCGUCACAUUGCCAUUUUGGGUGUCUCCAAAUCUUGGUACUGUAACC
Molecule: long non-coding RNA, 211 nt
Filed under: Elaeis guineensis (African oil palm)
Lineage: Eukaryota; Viridiplantae; Streptophyta; Magnoliopsida; Arecales; Arecaceae
Description: long non-coding RNA (EGUI_LNC022256)
Source: RNAcentral